Molecule: unclassified non-coding RNA, 303 nt
Filed under: Hevea brasiliensis (rubber tree)
Lineage: Eukaryota; Viridiplantae; Streptophyta; Magnoliopsida; Malpighiales; Euphorbiaceae
Source: RNAcentral
AUGCUUCAAACCAGACCAACCAUGUUGCCGGAGUCCCCAUUGCACCGUCGUCUUUACUUGGGAUGCCUACCUACCUUCCGCCUGGACAGGUGACUGCACUGCAUCCAUUCAUUCUGCAUCAACAGGGGAUUCCUCAUUCUAUGCCAUCACAUGUUCCUCAAUCUCAUGUUGCGCAUUUUAACUCGAUACCAGCAAUGUCAUCCCUUCCACAGUGGCAGAACCAGCAGGCUGCAUCAGAGGGUGCUCAAUUAUCUACACCGAAUCAACUGACUUCAUCCCAAACUGAUCACAACCUUAUGAGAU